GGGGUUACAGAAUGCGACAGCUGCGAGUUGAGGGGGGCACACGGCGUGUCCAGCAAAUGGCACGGCUACGGACGGGCAUCUGUGCGGCAAGGCGCGGCCUCACAGGCGCCCAGACAGGAAUAAGGCAGUGAUGAGUUCCAAAUGCCACCUACCACUUGCCAGCCAGAUGCCUCGCACGUGCCGUGUCUGUUGGUUGUGCUGCUGCUUGCUGCCUAGCUCAGCCCGGGCGUGAUGUGCGUACGGCUGUAAUUUUGAGUGACGAGGGCACAUAAGGAAGUAGGUUCGAGUCGUGAGCAUGGCCCAGACAAGCAGAAGGACGUGUGACUGGGUUUAAGAGACCACGCCUGAUCCUGCGUUGUCUGCGCGUGUCCGUGACACGGUGACAGUCGCGGAUAGCGAGGGUGCUGUAAGGAAACCCACAUGCUGAGCAUCAGGACGUCGACCUGCUUGCCCUGCGGCACUAGCAGUUGCUUAGUACGUGCGCUGUACGUAUGUGCUGCGGCCUGGACGAUUCCCGGCACUCCGGUGCCUAGGCUUGUGGCAUUGAGGCACAGCGGUGGGGCUCUGGCGGGUUGAGGCUUGGCUAGGACUCACUGUGCGCGGAGUCACAGGGACUUUGACCGCGGGAGGGUAUGCAGCAAAGUCGGUGUGUGAUGGGACAGGGUUCAGGCAGGUUGGCGAGGUCCCAUAGGGUGCAGCUGUCGCCCAUACCCCAAGCAGACAGCAAACAGUUUGCAGCGGCAGAGCAGGAGUGCAUGGCUGGUCGAACGCCGGAGUUACUGUACCGGGGACCAGGGACUUUGACCGCGGGAGGGUAUGCAGCAAAGUCGGGGUUGGUGGAGUCAAGUUGGGCCCUGAUAGCAUGUGAUGGCUCGGCGUCUUCGGGUGCUGGGACUGUCCCCUCUGUAACAUCCGCAUUCUUGUCUCUCCCGUUGGGUUUGGGUUUUGCCCCGCCCCCGCCGGGGCACUCCUAGACUCACGCAUGUCCCUCAGGCCUGGGGCCAUCAUCGGGCUCGGUGCACGCGCACCAACAAUGGUGCACGUCACGGCCAUGUCCACGCCCUAGACAUCCAACUCACGCAUCCUAGCGCGACUCAAGCUGCCGAGCCAUCCACGUUAGCACCUGCAACGGCCACGUCCCCCCAUCAGUAGACAGGCGCAGGAGCGAAGAAUUGUCCACAGCUGCCGCGCUAUUCCGCACCACCUGUCUAGCACGCAUGGCCCACAGCCACCAAACACACAUGCUUGCCGGCUCAGCAGCAGCCGCAGUACAGCCUGCAUGGGGGCGGGGGGCGGGGUUGCAGUUGCUGUCGUGCCUGACCCAAACCGCAUCCUAGGGACAUGGGCGCUGAGUGCGGCUGAGUGUGCCGAGGGACGUGGCAGGUGCAGGUUUCAGGGUUCAGGUUUAGGGCUCGGCGCGCUGCAGGCGGAGGGCGACGUGGCGGCACAGCGCGCGGCGGCGGUGGUGGCGACCGUACUGAGCCACGCAGUGCUGCCACCAUGUUUCCAGUAGACGUGGGCGCUGAGUACUGGCGACUGGGUAGCGGGAACGGCGCGACUGGUGAGCCUGAGAGCUGCUAUUGGUACAAUGGACCUACUAGAGAGAUCUUGUCGACUGUAACCUUGUGCAGCGACAGCAUGAUGUCCACACCUGCGAAUGUCUCAUCAGAGGUCGGAGCCCCCCACCCCCCCACACACACACACCACGCUAAAGAAAGUAGCAUUUGUUUGGCCCUGGGUGCCGUGGGUGAGAACGUGGCAAAGCUCUUCUCGCCAGUGGUGGUGGCCGAGGUGGCCUAACCCCGGAAGAUCUUUUUCUGGGUGCUACUUUGGGUGGUCUGGCUUUCCUGACACGGGCUGUUUCAGAGCCGCUCAGUCUCUGGAGGGAUCUGCACAGGCCCUCUGGAGGGCUCUGAAGGGCUCUGGAGGGCUCUGGAGGGCUCUGAAGGGCUCUAAAGCGCUCUAAAGGGCUCUGAAGCGCUCUGAAGGGCUCUGUAGGGCUCUGGAGGCUGGUAACCGAGAAGGCCCCGAUGCGACCGCAAGGGCUCCGCCCGAAGGGGCAAGGGGCAAGCCAACACGAGCACCGCCUGUGCGCCCGGCCGCCCUGCAUGCUGGGCGGGCCAGUACCCUGUUGGCCCACUAUCCAGUUGCGAAGGCCGCGGCAACCCACAAAAUGCCGACAGCCAGUUAAGGAGUUGACAAACUCCAGAUGUUGAAUGUUGGGCAGGUCCGGCACCGCCGCACAGCUCAAUCUCGCACACCUAAUCCCCCCCAUAUCUUAUUACUGUAACUGUAACACCUACCAUGAGGCACAAAGCCCAAGCCUAGGCGUUCACAGACCGCAAGCACUUACUGGCAUACACCACCAGCCCAUGUACCCCGCAGCUCGUUAGCACCUCCAUUAGCUGCGAGGGGAAGGCACGGAUGCCACGUCACGCUGGCCAAACUGUUGAACCGGGCCCGAUGGGCCCAUCGCUUAGGCCCCAUCUGCCAAUCCCAGCGCCGAGUUGGGGUUGGGGUCCGCUUCCUGCUGCUUCCUUGUCCUUCCAGACAAGCCUUAACCACCCCAUGCAUUUGCACACCACCAGCCGCCGCCGCGCCACCAGCCGCCGCCGCGCCACCAGCCGCCGCCGCCGCCGCCUCAAAGCCGCCGUGGAAGACGCCAACACCUCCACUGCCACCGGCGCCUGCGCACGUGAAAGGGAAGAGGGUGCGGGGCGGUGUGGAGGGCGGCAAGGUGUCUAGGACACGGGCGGCGGCAUGACGGGCACAACACGCGCAUCACCAACACCCCACAAACAACACAAGCCGCACCACCCACCUCCAGGGUGCGCCUCGCGAGUACUGCUGGCCGUCACCAUGCCGGCCACCGCACCGCCGUGGGAAGCACCGACCACGCUGCCGCCGGGUUCUGCGGCGGCGUCAGUAGCAAGUCAGCACCAAGUGCUGCAGCCAACAAGUGCUGACGGCCAACCGUGGGCGCUGCACCACGGCAGGGGUGGCUUACCGUCGCUGUCCGCAAUGACAAUGGCCGGGGCUUGACAGGUCAGGGUUCCAGGCUGGCUCGUCCUCGCUUUAUACCGCUGCACCAAGCCCACGGCCCCCUUCGCAGCCCACGCGCCCUCACCACCGCCCCUACCCCCCGCCGCAGCCCAGCCCCGUCCCUGCCGCAGUCCAAGCCCCCCUCCGCGGCCCCGCCACACCGCAGCCCACGCCCACGCCCCAACGCCCACACCCCUCUCCCUGCCCCCUGCCCUGUCCCCCACGCAUCUCCCUGCGCGCUCUCCUUCCCCUCUCCCCCUGCGCUCCCCCUGCUGCGCGCAGUCGAGUUUCCAAAGCUGGACUCACCGUCGCUUCGUACGACUGCAGUGUCGGCAGCUGCGCCGGCCCGCCAGCGGCGUGCAGGGCGCCCUGCAGGAGUUCGCCAAACCCGCCGUCGUCCUCCUCCUCCUCCGCUUCCCCCUCCUCCGCUUCCUCCUCCUCCUCCCCUGCCGCCGCCCCUGCCGCCUGCUUCUGCUCCAUGCCCCACGCCUCCUGCGCGUCCUCCCAGGUGUCGCCCCCGCUGGCGUCGUCGCUUAGCUUGCUGCUCGCCGCGCCUGCCAUGCAGAGGAGCCCAGCUUCGCGUCAUCGACCAGGCGCGAGGUGGCCUCUUGCUGCCAGUCUUCUUCCUCGCUGUCCCAGUCAUGGAGGUCCCUCAGCAGGCUGGGCGAGGCCUCGCUGAGCUCCGAGUCGCAGUCGCUCAGCACUUCGGAGUGGCAAUGCAGCGAGGGCGCCCUGGGUGGGCUUGAGGCCUAAGACAUGCUAAUUAGCUGUGUGAAUGCUCACGGUGCCAGGUUGGAGCUGACUUUGCGAUGUUGCGUUGUGAUCGAGGUCAGCGCUGGUCUUUCGCAACAGCGACUAGCUCGUUGGGGUGCGUUCAUGCUCUGUAUGGCAGCAGAAUUACCUCUGGCGUGUUUGCGUGAACAAGUUUGCCAAGCUGCUCGUCCCCCGAGGGUGUCGUACCGGGGCCGGGGGGGGGGGCGACAUUUGCACACUGCUAUAACGUCUGCGCUUUUUGGUGGUGGCCAGUGCAUUCAUCCUAUAAAGUCUGCGUGGAAAGAGCCCAAUGGUAUCGAGGACGGCAGUUGAGGAUGCUGUUCGCAAUGUGGUCCAGGGCCCAGAACGAGGAGACCUGCUGUUCUUUGUCGGGGAGCAAACUGAUGAGCAACUGAGCCAGUGGAGGAUCCUGGACACAGACGGCGAUUCAGCAAUUGUCGCCUUCGUGAGGCGGAAGGCCCAAGGUGCGUUGCCGGAUGCAGCGUCCUCAGUUCGGGCAUAUGAUUUUGAACGCGGCUGAGCUACCGCGAAGAGUCCGCGGCGUAGGUUUGCACUUGUGGGAUCUCACUGGUGCGUGUCCCAGCAUCGGAGUGUGGAGAGCCAGGUGACAGCGGAUGCGGACCAGGGGAGUUCAAGAGGCUGGCACCGCCUGGGCUCAAAAUGUCGAUAACUGUCUGCAUCCGCCGGAUCCUCGCGACCCUCCGGCUCUGGCCCUUAUUGGCGGGGCGUGAUUUGUUCCGCCCUGGCGAUGCUGAUUACCUGCAUUGCCUUUUAAUCGCUCUCACGUCGUGCAGGCGCGGUGGCUGGCGUGGGCAUGACAAGAACUGGUGAGUGGGGCGAUGCGCGGAGAGUAGUGGCUGGUCACGACACGCCGCGGCUCAGAGGGUGGCCGCUGGACGGCGGUGGUGCACAUUGAGGUUGGGGGCGGACACCCGAUUUGUUUGGCGGUUGAGAUGCUGCACGCUGUCCCUCCCCGUUCACCAGACCGCAUCGGGCACGUGCAGCGCCGCCGUUCCAAUCUGCGCAUGCCUUUCGUUCAUGUCUUCACUUCGUUUGCAUCUGUGUUUCGGUCGCUUUCAGGUGAUGCAGGCGCGGCGGCUGGCCUGGGCGUGGGGAGCGCGGCAGGGGCCGGUGAGUUAGUGUGUUGCGCGGGCCCAAGGGAAUUCUCACUAGCGGCUUGUGCACAUCAGCGGCUUGGCACCACAUGACACUGGCUGGCGUGUGUACCCUCGUCGAGUUGGGGGUCGCGUCUCACAUCAAACGAACCCGGUGUGCUUGCCCUCCUGCUGUGCAGGCACGGCUGCCGGUGAGGAUGCUGUGGGGGUCUCUACCGGUGAGAUUGCUGGGCUUGUCAACGCCAAGCUCAAGCCUGCACGCGCGGAUCUCAUUAUCAGAGCGCUCAACGCGCAACUUGGGUUGAGGAUGCGGCUGGGCACCAAGCAGAGUUGCGUUUUUGUUGCGGUCCUGGAAUACGCAGGAUACCUGGUUCUGAGGCUUACGUCGUGUUGCUUGCUAUGCAGGUCAACACAACCAGGCCGCGCUGAGUGAGUGGCCUUCCGUUGUCGGAAGGUUUUGAGAGCUCCAAAGUUGGCAUGAUUUCCACGGGUGUCUAAACAUUUUCUCCCUGUAUGGUUGCAGUUCCGGACACCAGCGGCGCGUACUUCCGUCGGGUCAUGGCGGCACAAUUUCUGGACUCUGGCAGCACCAGCGUUGACAACGGCGGCCUCCUCGGCAUGCGGCACCGGCAGUUCUACCUUGACCAGCCGCUCGGUGCCUUGCUGCCGGUGUCAAGUGCUGCCCAGGAGGCCAUCCUGCACGACAGCGACCUGCUCAAAUACGUCGCCGUGGAGCCCGACGGCGGGUCCGUCCGCACGUUCGGCCAAAUGGUAACGCAUGCCCUGAUGGGAUGGCAUGACGUGCAGCUCGCCAGCUCAGAGACCGCGACCUCGUUCAAGACGCAGCUUCUCGUGGGCAUACCGCUCUCGUAUGCCCUUGGGCGGUUGGGUCUGCACUUCCGUAUCGACCGCAACGCGGCAGACCCCUCCGGUGACACAAGUGAGUUCAGCGUUUGCACGGCUGCCGCGUGUCAGCUAUCGCAGCCCUGCCCACGUGGUGCCCAGCUCCACGGGCGUAGUCCUUGCCCCUUGACACUUGCAUCGCGCUGCUCCUUGCCCCUGGACAGCGAAGCGGCUCCGCCCGGACUUCCUGUGCUGGAUCCGGAACGCCCUGCUUCUCAAGGGGGAGGAGAAAGCGAACGAGUCGGCGCUGCAGGUGCGAGAUUCUCGCAUCGGUACAGCAGUGCACGCAUGCGGUACUUCAUUCGGGAACCCAAGAACGAUCGUAGGCGGGGGACGUGUAUCACUGCUAUGAGUAAGGAGGGAGCCAAAAGGCAAAUGCGUAGGAGCUGGGAGGAGCCCGGGGGCCUAAGGAAUUGUGACCGUGACGCCCCAGCGAACCUGUUGGCUUGUCCCACCCAGCCCAGAAGGUUGUAGAGAGUGUUGGCACAUUCUGGCUGGUAAGCGUUACACAUGCGAUGUAAUCACUCAGCGGCGGGGCAAAAUAACAGCUGCGACAUGUUGAACGAGCCUGGGUGGUAAGGAGCAAAUUGACACGGUGUGGGGCCACACGCGGGAAUUAUGUGGUUCACCAAAGUUGCGCGCGCGGUAUGCCAUGUGUACAGGAGGCCAACCGAGAGCUGACGUCGAAGAUGGCAACGUCAUGGUAACUAUCAGCAUAUUGCCUUGGUGCCGAGCUGCAAGUGCAACUUCGUCAUUAUGAGUGCUGUAUAAUGUUGUAUUGGCAGGAGGCCCGGACUACUGCCGGGCGUCAGCAUGCCUUGCAUGAUGGCUUACACUGCUGCCGGCAACCUGAUGCAGUUCUUCGCCAUCACCGAGAGGUGAGGCAGGGGUUGGUUGUGAGCACGCGCAGCGAUAGGCAUGGGGCAUGGGGGAUUAGGGGUUGUGCGGGGUGCUGGCGUCUGCCAUCAACGGUAGCCGCAGCAACGACAUGCUCACGCCUCAAACCUUGCAUGUGCAGCAGCGGCGGCGGUGGUGUGGAGGCGUGGCCCAUCAGCGAGCUCUUGGACAUCAGCCGGCCCCUCGGCCGCAUCAAGGUCGUGCACCACACCCUGCAUAUCGCGCGGUUGCUGGCGGCAUAUGCCCCACUGGCGCCGCCGCAGCUGUCCAUCGCCCUCGGCGGCAUGAUCCAGUCUAAGGGACUCGGCGGAAGGCUCCUGGGCAAUGUGAUGCUGUUUGGCGGUACGUAUUAUUGCGCCAUCACACAUUGCAGCUGAGUACUCACGAAUUUUCACGCUGGCCGCAGACUUCGUGCAAAAACGCGCCUUCGAGUACCUGCGGCAGCCUGGCGUCGUUCUGGACUUCAGCACGCUUGUGGUGGGUCAGGCGUGUCCACGUCGUUGGUUUGGUUGGUUUAAUUCGUUGGUUGGUUUGGCGCACGGUCUCUCUGUAUACGGUGGCGUGAUAGUGUACCUUGCCCUCGCGCACUGGCUGCGCAUAGGCAGAAUGCUUGCGAGGAAUUAAUAUCCGUCGUGGUAUUGGCGCGCACAGGAGCUGUACACUGCCACCGGUCGGGAGCUGUGCGCAAACCUGGUGCGCCUGCACCAAGGCGCCAUCCGCAUGGAGGGCACGACGUUGGUGCUGCACUUGGAACCCGUGGGCUUGCCACUGGAUGCUCCCCCAGCGGACGAGGCCACUCUCAAGGAGGCUAUCCGGGGCGUGCUCCUGGGCAUCGCGGCACUACAUAGGGCAGGUGUGGUGCGUGGUGCGUGGCUGCAACGAUCGCCUACUGUUCGCGUGUGGUGCUGUGUACUGCCGUCAUUUAUUAAUGUCGACGCGGCUGCGGAUGGCGGAGGGGGGAGUUUUUUGUAUACCCCUUCUGUCUGCUUUGCAUGUACAGGCUUCGUGCACCGGGACGUCCGCUGGCGGAACGUGAUUCGCGUGCCGGAGUUGCGGUCUUCAGGUUCGCUGAGCACGUACGUGCUGAUCGACCUGGAGCACGCAGGUAUGGCUGGGCUGACGGCGUGGGGCGUGCCUGUAGUGCAUGUGCGCGUGACGCUGCGCUGAGCGAGAGGCGCUGGUGCUGUGGUGCAGGCCACUUGAAAAGAGAACGGCUUUCCUUCCCACCCCCUCUUUUCGGCCUCCAAUAUCUCAUUCCUCUUUCCUCAACAGCACGCGCCGAUUGCGCCGUGGAUUGCCGCGAGCCUGACUUCCGGCUGGGGUCGUGGCCGAGCGAGGACAUGCUGGAGUCGGGGAGCGGCCGCUACACGCCCGCCUCCGACCUGUGCUUGGUGGCGUACCUGAUGAUGUGCAUUCCGCUAAGCCAGAGCGGCCAGCGCCUGCAGCAGGCCCUGGCCGCCCGGCAAGUGCCGAGCGCCGAGGCUGCCCUGCAGCACGAGUGGCUGUCGCUGCACGCGGCGUAGCCCAUCGCCACCGCCCUGGUCGUGGAGCUGCGGAGACACUAAGGUGCGGAAGUCCAUGCGAGUUCGACCGAGGCAUGAAUGGGCACACACGACCCCAUGGGUGCCGACGCCCCGCACAGACAGCAGACAAACGCAAAUUGAAGUCGGCUUUUCAUAGCACCUCGCCCUAGGGUGUAAGAAUGCGUGUAUAAGGUUUGCCCUCAAGUCCGUCGCGCCAUGAGUGAGAGCAGCUUUGCCGCGGUGGCCCCUUACACCCUGCCGUGAACAUUGUGCAAAAGCAUGCAGCCAGUGCUUGCUACUAGUGUCGGUUUCAUUGUGCGCGGACCCUUGUUGGGGCGCGCCCCCACACAUGUGUACCUACUUUGGCGCUUCGGGGUCCCCGCCGCUUGCGUAUGUGAUAGCUGCCUUGCCUAUUGAGUCACCUGGGGUGGGUGCGGCGAGAAGGGUGCGAGUGUGAGCGGACAUGCGCAAAGAUGUCAAGGUGGGUGUUGUAUUCUGAGCGCGCACGCGCCUGGCGCCCCGCAUGCGCGUUAAGUUGGGGCUAUUGGGCAUAUGUGCCGGGCGCGGGGCUGCGCAUCAGGGCGCCGAGGCCCAACAUCGGGUCUGCCGCAUGGGGUGUCCGAAUGCGCGGGAGGCCCCAAAACGUGCCGCGGCGAAACGCUCCACACAAAGUUGCCUUACAAGCUCAAUUUAAAAUCAAAUCCGAUAAGGCUAUUGCUGUUGAAGUAUAUGACACGGUAGGAAGGCGCUUAAAAAGGAUAGCCGCUGAAUCACUACCGACAUUCGACGCCCGGCCCCGACGGUCGCAACUCUCGAACUCGCACGGACUUCCGCACCUUAGUGCCACUGUCGCCCAAGCGUAGCAGCUUAUAACCAACUUGUCCUGCUUACAGGCCAUGCAGCAGGUGGACAGUAAUUUAAUCAGAGGACUGGAGAGUGAGUUGCGUCACGAGAAUCAGUGUAUCACGUGCAAACCAUGUCAGUAGUGUCGAAAGCUGACGAACCAUAGGGCCGUCGUCAUGCCUCCGUCUCCACGUCACCGGUACCAUACACUUGCACACAACCACACACGCAUGCGCUCACACGUAUACACACUCGCACACACACACACACACACACCUACAUUCACAAAUACACACACACACCUACAUUCACACAUACACACACACACAUUCUUACACACACGACCACGCGCGCGCGUGCGUUCGCAGGUGCUGGUGCGGUCGGUGCUGUGCAACUGGCUGGUGUGCCUGGCCGUGUGGAUGGCGCUGGCGGCCAACAACCUGCCGGUGAGGGACCGAGGGGGCGGGGGGGGAGAGAGGGGCGGGGUGGGAGGAUGGCGGGGUGGGGCGGGGCGGGGCAUGGUGGAGCGUGGUGGGGCAUGGUGGGGCGGGUUGGAGUGUCCGGGUGCAAUCCCGAAUCAUUUGGGGCUCUAAACCCAACACCGGACCCGGGUCCCUGUCACAGCGGGUAGAGACGCAUGGCAGGCCGUAAGCGAACGAGGAAGGGGCAGAAAGGAGAGCCGGAAGAGCGCGAUAGCGAGUACUGACGGCCAUUUUGCAAAGCCAGGGCACGGCCACGUAGGCACGCAUCCUCCAUAUACCCACCCGUUACCGCAUACUCCAUUCCGCACGCCUUAACUUUCCUGCUACCGCUGCUUCCGGCGCUGUAUGCACGCAGGGCAAGCUGAUGGGGAUGUGGAUGCCCGUCACGGCCUUCGUAACGGUGGGCCUGGAGCACUCCAUCGCCAACAUGUGGGUCAUCCCCAUCGGCAUGGCACUGGGCGCGCCCGUGUCCGCGGGUGCCUUCCUUACAGCCAAUCUCAUCCCCGUGAGUGGCGGCGCGCUGGCAGGGCGGGUAGGGGGCUGGCAGGGCGGGUGGGGGGCUAGCAGGGCGGGUAGGGGGCUGGCAGAAGCGGCUGAGGGCUUCUCUUCUGGGGCAAAAGGGGCAAGAGUUGGCAGCUGGGUCUGCAGCGGACCUCCUGCCGGACAGUGCCCGCCACUGCAGCCGUGCCUGCGCCCCCGAGCACACAAGCUCCUGUGUCUGCCUCAUGCGGCCGGUGCAGGUGACCCUGGGCAACGUGUUUGCGGGCGCGGUGCUGACCGCCGGCUCCUACUCGCUGGCCUUCGGGCGGCUGGGCGCGGCCUUCAACGGCGAGGCCGCCAAGUGAGAGGCCCGCAGUGGCGGGCAGCGGCGGCGGGCAGUAGCAGCUGGGGCCCGCAGUGGCUGGCAGUGGCGGCGGGCGGUAGCAGUAGCAGCUGCAGCUGCAGUUGCAGGCAGGCGUCAGAGCUACCCGGAAGCUUGAGCUGCAGCGGCGGCUGCAGCAGCGGAAUUUCGAGGAGGGUCACGGUGCACAAGAGAGGUUUCGAACAGAGCGGCAUAGCCGAGCUGCUUGUAUGAGAGCGCUUGGCUUGGGGUGCGCGGGGGGCGGGCCCGCCGCUGCGCUAUAAAAGGCAGCGUCGCCGGGGGCGGUGAGCAAGAUGUGUGUUGCGUGUCGGUAUGGCGGUGUUUGUUGUGGUAAUGGAGGGAAGCAUUGGGGAUACUAGAGCGCACCAACAUGGGCGGCUUAAUCGGCCCGUCGGCCAGAAAUGGGGAGUGGCUGAAGAUGUAAUAACGUAGCACUACGGGGCGUAAGUGAGUCCAAGUGCGCAUCGUCCGUGCGCUGCAUGGAGAUGACCGCAGGGGUGGCCGCGUCGUACUGCCGGCAGUGCUGUUGUUAAUACGGUGUAGGUGCGUCGAGCAGGUGCCCUUCUUGCUAUGUUCGUGAGUGAUUGUGUGGUCAGAAAGAUUGCGGUUAAUAAUGCUUGUUUGCGGAGGGGUUACAGAAUGCGACAGCUGCGAGUUGAGGGGGGCACACGGCGUGUCCAGCAAAUGGCACGGCUACGGACGGGCAUCUGUGCGGCAAGGCGCGGCCUCACAGGCUCCCAGACAGGAAUAAGGCAGUGAUGAGUUCCAAAUGCCACCUACCACUUGCCAGCCAGAUGCCUCGCACGUGCCGUGUCUGUUGGUUGUGCUGCUGCUUGCUGCCUAGCUCAGCCCGGGCGUGAUGUGCGUAAGGCUGUAAUUUUGAGUGACGAGGGCACAUAAGGAAGUAGGUUCGAGUCGUGAGC
RNAcentral lists this long non-coding RNA (11364 nucleotides) under Chlamydomonas reinhardtii. Its description in RNAcentral is "long non-coding RNA (CREI_LNC001062)". The record is from RNAcentral. Lineage: Eukaryota; Viridiplantae; Chlorophyta; Chlorophyceae; Chlamydomonadales; Chlamydomonadaceae.